UACGUAGGGGGCAAGCGUUGUCCGGAAUCAUUGGGCGUAAAGCGCGUGUAGGCGGUCCGGUAAGUCUGCUGUGAAAGCCGGGGGCUCAACCCUCGAAUGCCGGUGGAUACUGUCGGGCUAGAGUGCGGAAGAGGCGAGUGGAAUUCCUGGUGUAGCGGUGAAAUGCGCAGAUAUCAGGAGGAACACCUAUUGCGAAGGCAGCUCGCUGGGACGUAACUGACGCUGAGACGCGAAAGCGUGGGGAGCAAACAGG
RNAcentral lists this ribosomal RNA (253 nucleotides) under uncultured bacterium. Its description in RNAcentral is "partial 16S ribosomal RNA". It matches the Rfam family "Bacterial small subunit ribosomal RNA", at positions 524 to 776 of the family's 1533-position model. The record is from RNAcentral.